GGGUGCGUAGGCUGCACGGAAAGUUGGGUGUGAAAGCCCUCAGCUCAACUGAGGAAUUGCAUCCAAAACUGCCGUGCUUGAGGGAGACAGAGGUGAGCGGAACUCAAGGUGGAGCGGUGAAAUGCGUUGAUAUCUUGAGGAACACCGGUGGCGAAAGCGGCUCACUGGGUCUCUUCUGACGCUGAGGCACGAAAGCUAAGGUAGCAAACGGGAUUAGAUACCCCGGUAGUCUUAGCUGUAAACGAUGAGCACUUGAUUGGAGGGUCCUCCAUAGCCUUCCAGUCGUAGCGAAAGUGUUAAGUGCUCCGCCUGGGGAGUAUGGUCGCAAGGCUGAAACUCAAAGAAAUUGACGGGGGCUCACACAAGCGGUGGAGGAUGUGGCUUAAUUCGAGGCUACGCGCAGAACCUUACCAACCCUUGACAUCCUGUGCUACAUCCAGAGAUGGAUGGUUCCCUUCGGGGACGCAGUGACAGGUGCUGCAUGGCU
RNAcentral lists this ribosomal RNA (487 nucleotides) under uncultured Planctomycetaceae bacterium. RNAcentral describes it as "bacterial SSU rRNA". It matches the Rfam family "Bacterial small subunit ribosomal RNA", at positions 565 to 1050 of the family's 1533-position model. Lineage: Bacteria; Pseudomonadati; Planctomycetota; Planctomycetia; Planctomycetales; Planctomycetaceae. The record is from RNAcentral.